GGGACGAACGCUGGCGGCGUGCUUAACACAUGCAAGUGGAGCGACGAACCAGGGCUUGCCCUGGGGCAGAGCCGCGAACGGGUGAGUAACACGUGGGUUACCUGCCUCGAUGACCGGGACAACCCGAGGAAACUCGGGCUAAUACCGGAUGUGCCCGCAAGGGGAAAGGAAGCUUCGGCCUCCGCAUCGAGAUGGGCCCGCGGCCCAUUAGCUUGUUGGUGAGGUAACGGCUCACCAAGGCUUCGAUGGGUAGCUGGUCUGAGAGGACGAUCAGCCACACUGGGACUGAGACACGGCCCAGACUCCUACGGGAGGCAGCAGUGGGGAAUCUUGCGCAAUGCGCGAAAGCGUGACGCAGCAACGCCGCGUGGGGGAAGAAGGCUUUCGGGUUGUAAACCCCUUUCAGUUGGGACGAAGCUUCUCCGGUGAAUAGCCGGACGGAGUGACGGUACCUUCACAAGAAGCACCGGCUAACUCGUGCCAGCAGCCGC
This 491-nucleotide ribosomal RNA is filed under the name uncultured bacterium. RNAcentral describes it as "SSU rRNA". It matches the Rfam family "Bacterial small subunit ribosomal RNA", at positions 27 to 518 of the family's 1533-position model. The record is from RNAcentral.